UGCAUGGAUAUGAAGCAGUGAAGGAAGCCCUGAUUGAUCUUGGAGAGGAGUUUUCUGGAAGAGGCAUUUUCCCACUGGCUGAAAGAGCUAACAGAGGAUUUGGAAUUGUUUUCAGCAAUGGAAAGAAAUGGAAGGAGAUCCGGCGUUUCUCCCUCAUGACGCUGCGGAAUUUUGGGAUGGGGAAGAGGAGCAUUGAGGACCGUGUUCAAGAGGAAGCCCGCUGCCUUGUGGAGGAGUUGAGAAAAACCAAGGCCUCACCCUGUGAUCCCACUUUCAUCCUGGGCUGUGCUCCCUGCAAUGUGAUCUGCUCCAUUAUUUUCCAUAAACGUUUUGAUUAUAAAGAUCAGCAAUUUCUUAACUUGAUGGAAAAGUUGAAUGAAAACGUCAAGAUUUUGAGCAGCCCCUGGAUCCAGAUCUGCAAUAAUUUUUCUCCUAUCAUUGAUUACUUCCCGGGAACUCACAACAAAUUACUUAAAAACGUUGCUUUUAUGAAAAGUUAUAUUUUGGAGAAAGUAAAAGAACACCAAGAAUCGAUGGACAUGAACAACCCUCAGGACUUUAUUGAUUGCUUCCUGAUGAAAAUGGAGAAGGUAAAAAGUAAACAAAAGCUUAGUUAUGUGACUGCUUGUGAAUUUGUGAUUUGUUGACUAGUUCUGUGUUUACUAAGGAUGUUUAACUGGUCAAACAGUAAUGCUUGAGAAGCACUUUAAGUUUUUAUUGUAUGAAUGAAUAACAAAAUAGACCACUAGCUAGACUAAUAAAGAAGAAAAAAGAGAAGAAUCAAAUAGACACAAUAAAAAUGAUAAAGGGGAGAUCACCACUGAGCCCACAGAAAUACAAA
Molecule: small RNA, 841 nt
Filed under: Pan troglodytes (chimpanzee)
Lineage: Eukaryota; Metazoa; Chordata; Mammalia; Primates; Hominidae
Description: processed transcript
Source: RNAcentral